Long non-coding RNA from Olea europaea var. sylvestris, 493 nucleotides. RefSeq lists it as uncharacterized. The transcript has 2 exons. The record is from RefSeq and is a predicted model, not a curated record. NCBI's taxonomy places the organism in Eukaryota, Viridiplantae, Streptophyta, Magnoliopsida, Lamiales, Oleaceae.
UGGAUCAAAAGAAUAUUUGGGAAAUUCAUUUGAGCAUCGACCAAUUUUAGUUAAGUAUUAUAGAAGUAGAUCUUAAAGUUUUUUAAUUUAAUAGUAGUUGAUUAGCCAUCUUGUUAUGUAUUCCAGGUGGUGACGAGGAAAUUGGAAGAGCCUAUCGACCAGCUUAGGUUCAACUUGUGUUAUAUAGUAGCUGAGUUGAGCAUUACUGGGCCAGUUGAUCUAUCAAGUUGAGCCAUAGAUUGUCAAGCAUUGUAUGAAUUAUCUUUUCAGUUUAAGAGUUCAUAUUUUGGGAUAGACGCCUCUUUUGGUCAUAAAUUAGUUCCAUGUGUUGGGCUUGCUAUGUUUUGUAUAUAUAUUAUGCAUUUUGGGUACCGUGGUUUAGAAAUUGUUGCAAAAGUCGAAUUGCCAGUGUUGUAUUUGAAUAGUUGAUAUUUUGAGGGGCUGGUGUACCCUAUUUCAAAUGAUAUGUACAUGUUUGGGAUAUUUGAUUUUA